CCUACGGGAGGCAGCAGUAAGGAAUAUUGGUCAAUGGGCGCAAGCCUGAACCAGCCAUGCCGCGUGCAGGAAGACGGCCCUAUGGGUUGUAAACUGCUUUUGAACAAGAGAAAACCUCGGUACGUGUACCGAGCUGAUAGUAUUGUUAGAAUAAGCAUCGGCUAACUUCGUGCCAGCAGCCGCGGUAAGACGAAGGAUGCAAGCGUUAUCCGGAUUCAUUGGGUUUAAAGGGUGCGUAGGCGGCCUGAUAAGUCAGUGGUGAAAUCUCUCAGCUUAACUGAGAAACUGCCAUUGAUACUGUCGGGCUUGAGUACAGAUGAUGUGGGCGGAAUAUGACAUGUAGUGGUGAAAUACUUAGAUAUGUCAUAGAACACCGAUUGCGAAGGCAGCUCACAAAACUGUAACUGACGCUGAGGCACGAAAGUGCGGGGAUCAAACAGGAUUAGAUACCCUGGUAGUCCGCACCGUAAACGAUGAUUACUCGUUGUUGGCAAUAUGACCGUCAGCGACCAAGCGAAAGCGAUAAGUAAUCCACCUGGGGAGUACGCCGGCAACGGUGAAACGUCGAAAGAGAGUAGACGGNGNGAGAGNGACGACGACGACGACGGAGGGAGGAGG
Molecule: ribosomal RNA, 618 nt
Filed under: uncultured bacterium
Lineage: Bacteria
Description: bacterial SSU rRNA
Rfam family: Bacterial small subunit ribosomal RNA
Source: RNAcentral